GAACAGUGGAACUCCAGGAAAAACUGGUGGCCAGGCUUUCACUUCAGCUAUUUUUGGGCAAGAAAUGAUUGGAAGGAUGACAACGCUUUGGCUUGUGAGAAGGCUCUGGUAGCUGGGAUGCUGUUGGGAAAAAGAUUCUGAGCGGCCUGCCCCGUGCAGGGCUGGAGAGACAGAAGCAAAGUGUGAAUUUCCUGCUCCCUCCCCGCGGGAAUUCUUUGCCAUUUUAAUGGACCACGGCUGCCACCGACAGCAUCACACCCUUGGCCCCGCAGCCGGGCACCCAGCGGCUCAGCAGUCAGGGCGGGCUUCCUGCCAGCUUCUUUUCGAGGGCCCUGGAGGGGACAGGGACACCUUUCAGCGCUUUCGCAAGAGACAGCUCCCCGGCCCCCAGGGACGUGGCUCAGAAACCACCUCCGCGAACCCGGUGAGAGGAGGGCGGAGAAGAAGGAAGGAGACACGAGCAGGGGCGGAGGGAGCCCCGCGCAGAGCCGGAGCCCGACCCGAGAGAGCGCAGCGCUCGCGCGCCCCCACGAUGCUCGCCGCUCCCAGCCGUGCGCGGAGUCCGCAGGCCCCCUGGCUCCUGAGCGCUUCUCGAAUUCUCUGCCUCUGCCUCGCAGUCGUGCUGGGCUGGGCGGGCUUGCUCCAGGGACACCCCCAGUGUCUGGAUUACGGGCCCCCCUUCCAGCCCCUCCUGCCCCUGGAGUUUUGCUCUGACUAUGACAACUUCGGCUGCUGUGACCAGCGCAAGGACCGCCGCAUCGCUGCCCGGUACUGGGACAUCAUGGAAUACUUCGACCUAAAGGGCCACGAGCUGUGCGGAGGCUACAUUAAGGACAUCCUUUGCCAGGAGUGCUCGCCCUACGCCGCGCACCUGUACGAUGCUGAGAACCCGCGGACGCCGCUCCGGAACCUUCCCGGGCUCUGCUCUGACUACUGCUCUGCCUUCCACUCCAACUGCCACUCUGCCAUCUCCCUGCUGACCAGCGACCGCCGCCUCCAGCAGUCCCAUCAGAAGGAUGGUGCCCGCUUCUGCCACCUCCUCAAUCUCCCGGACCAGGACUACUGCUUCCCCAACGUCCUGAGGAGCAACCAUCUCACCGGCAAGCUGGGGGUGGUGGCCGAGGACCCUCGGGGCUGCCUGCAGCUCUGCCUGGCCGAGGUGGCCAACGGGCUGAGGAACCCGGUCUCCAUGGUCCAUGCGGGGGACGGCACCCACCGCCUCUUCGUGGCCGAGCAGGUGGGGGUGGUGUGGGUCUUUCUGCCCGACGGGAGUCGCCUGGAACAGCCCUUCUUGGACCUCAAGAGCAUCGUGCUGAGCUCUCCGUGGAUUGGGGAUGAGAGGGGCUUCCUGGGGUUGGCUUUUCAUCCUCAGUUCCGCCGCAACCGCAAGUUCUACAUUUAUUAUUCAUGCCUGGGCAAGAAGAGGGCAGAGAAGAUCCGGAUUAGUGAGAUGAAGGUGUCCCGGGCUGAUCCCAACAAAGCUGAUCCCAAAUCAGAGAGGGUCAUCUUGGAGAUAGAAGAACCAGCCUCCAAUCAUAACGGGGGACAGCUGCUUUUUGGCCUGGAUGGCUAUAUGUACAUAUUCACUGGGGAUGGAGGGCAGGCUGGGGACCCCUUCGGCAAGUUUGGAAAUGCUCAGAACAAAAGCUCCCUGCUGGGAAAAGUGUUAAGGAUUGAUGUGAACGGAGCAGGCUCAGGGGGCCAGCGCUACCGAGUCCCCCGGGACAAUCCGUUUGUCUCUGAGCCAGGGGCCCAUCCUGCCAUCUACGCCUACGGGAUCAGAAACAUGUGGCGCUGUGCCGUGGACCGAGGGGACCCCGUCACACGCAAGGGCCGAGGACGGAUGUUCUGCGGGGACGUGGGACAGAACAGGUUUGAAGAAAUUGACAUCAUUGUUAAAGGCGGAAACUACGGCUGGAGGGCGAAGGAAGGGUUCGAAUGUUAUGACAAGACGCUUUGUCACAACUCCUCCUUGGAUGACAUUCUGCCCAUCUAUGCCUAUGGCCACGCGGUGGGGAAGUCAGUUACCGGAGGGCACGUGUACCGAGGCUGUGAAUCCCCAAAUCUCAAUGGGCUCUACAUCUUCGGAGACUUCAUGAGCGGUCGGCUUAUGGCUUUGCAGGAAGAUAGAAGAACCAAGAAAUGGAAGAAACGGGACAUUUGCCUGAGCAACACUGAGUCCUGUGCCUUCCCAGGGCUGAUCAGCACAUACAGCAAGUUUAUCAUCUCCUUUGCUGAAGACGAAGCAGGGGAGCUCUACUUCCUGGCCACCUCUUACCCAAGUGCCUACGCAGCGCGCGGAUCCAUUUACAAAUUCGUCGACCCAUCCAGUCUGGGAUCAUCUGACCGUGGGUGAACGCUACUGCCCAGGUUCUGCUCUGCUUACUUAGCCCGUCUGCGCUAAAUGCACUCGCCCAACAUUUUAAGGAGCGGUUGGUUUAUUUAUGCAUGAUUUCCCCUUCCAUUUUUUCCUCCUGCCCUUUCCUUAGAAUCACAGACCCUGGAUGCGGGGUCUCAACUGUGGCUUUGCCACUAACAAGCCAUGGGACCUUGGAUCUGUCUCUUAACCUUUGCACACCUCCGUUUCCCUCUUUCAAAUGAGGAUCAGUGUCACCUACAGCUCCGGUUCCACCCCUGGCCCGGGCACUUUCAUAUGCUGCGGGUGCAGCUGUUAGAAAAAAUAAAAUAAAAAGUUGUGUAUCAGUCAUGUACGAUGUGCCAAGUACACAGUUUUUAUUGAAUCCUCAUCUCUCUCUAUUACUUUUGCUAUUUUAUAGACGUGAAAGUUGAAACCUAGCCAAGUUUUCCUGCCCGCGGUCCCCAGGAUUUGAACUCAGUCCUCUGCCGCCUACACCACCCUGGGUGGUAGUGGCCCUGGGUGUCCCUGUCUGUUCUCCUCUCUGUCAGAGCUCAUCCCAGAUUCCUCCUCCGUCCAUCCCACCCCUAUGGAUAAAGGGGGGCUGAACCCAAGUCUUGCAAACGCACGCCUCCUGCUGACCUUGAGUUCCUGGUCCCGUCUUCAGAGUCCUGGGUCCUCACGUUUUCUAUCUGUUUUUAGGCGAGCACCUCCGGGAAAGUGCACAUACAAGCCGGUGCCGGUGAAAAUCAAGAGUAAGCGGAUCCCAUUCAGGCCACUAGCCAAGACGGUCUUGGACUUGCUAAAGGAGCAAGCUGAAGAAGCUGCUAGAAAAUCAUCCAACGCAACUGUAACUUCCAGGCCAGACCGGGCCUCCUCUCGGAAAGGCCCCUCCAAGAAGCCAGCUUCCCCCACAAGCAGCAGGAAGCCGUUUCCUCGGCCUGGGGCAAAGAAGCGAGUGUGGUCCCCAGGCCCCCAGGGGAGGAGGAAGCAGAGCCCCAAGACCCCCCCAGGCAGAGGGGCACAGCGGCAGCGAGCUGGCAGGAGCCUCCCUCUGAUGCUUCCGUCAAGGUGGUGGGUCAGGGGAUGAGCUUCCAGUUUGCCCCUGGGGAACUGCUGCUGCUGCUGCUGCUGCUGCUGCACAUGACCUUAGACACCUGGGAAGCUGGGGUGCAGGCGAGGACCAGUGGUGAGAGCUUGACCUUGGGCUGCGCAGUGGUCUUCUCCUCAAGAACCUUGUCCUCUGACCUGACCGGAUGCCCCAUGUCCGCUUCUGCAGCGAGACCAAAGCCCAUGUUGCCAGGCUACCUGGCUGCCUGUUUGCCAGUCUGUAAACCCGCUUGGAAGUCCACUGUGUGUCCCUGUUUGUAAGUGCCCGUGACCUAAGGCAAUAAAUCAACACUUGCUCAAAUGGA
This is a non-coding RNA of Sus scrofa (pig), 3771 nucleotides long. The record is from RefSeq and is a predicted model, not a curated record. NCBI's taxonomy places the organism in Eukaryota, Metazoa, Chordata, Mammalia, Artiodactyla, Suidae.